ACUGCUCAGUAACACGUAGUUAAUCUGCCCUUAGGCCAGGCAUACCCUCGGGAAACUGAGGUUAAUUCCUGAUAAGAGUUUUUUUCUGGAAAGAAUGAACUUACAAAUUCGCGCCUAAGGAUGAGACUGCGGCUGAUUAGGUAGUUGGCGGGGUAAUAGCCCACCAAGCCAAUGAUCAGUAAGGGCCCUUAGCGGGGGCGCCCUGAGAGGGAAUCUGAGACACUAUUCCCAGCUCUACGGAGUGCAGCAGCUAUGAAUCUUCUGCAAUGCGCGAAAGCGUGACAGAGCGAGUCAAAGUGUUUAUCUUUUUGAUAAACUUUUGCCAGCUGUAAAAAUGCUGGCGAAUAAGGACUGGGCAAGACCGGUGCCAGCCGCCGCGGUAAUCCCGGCAGUUCAAGUCGCAACCAACAUUAUUGGGUCUAAAACAUCCGUAGCUUGUUAUGCAAGUCUCUUGUGAAAUCUGAUAUCUUAAGUAUCAGGCGCGCAGGAGGUACUACAUGACUAGAGACCGGUAGGUGUAAGAAGUACGCUUAAGGUAGUAGUAAAAUACGUUAAUCUUAAGUGGACUCACAAUUAGCGAAGGCAUCUUACAAGGACGGAUCUGACAGUGAGGGAUGAAGGCCAAGGGCGCAAUAGGGAUUAGAUACCCCUGUAGUCUUGGCAGUAAACACUGCUCACUAAACAUCGGGGCCUCUUCGGGAGGUUUCGGUGCUGAAGGGAAGCUGAAAAGUGAGCUACCUGGGAAGUAUAGUCGCAAGAUCGAAACUUAAAGGAAUUGGCGGGGGAGCAC
This 790-nucleotide ribosomal RNA is filed under the name uncultured archaeon. Its description in RNAcentral is "bacterial SSU rRNA". It matches the Rfam family "Archaeal small subunit ribosomal RNA", at positions 85 to 879 of the family's 1478-position model. The record is from RNAcentral.